Long non-coding RNA from Triticum aestivum (bread wheat), 442 nucleotides. RefSeq lists it as uncharacterized. Lineage: Eukaryota; Viridiplantae; Streptophyta; Magnoliopsida; Poales; Poaceae. The record is from RefSeq and is a predicted model, not a curated record. The transcript has 2 exons.
UUCAGCAACCCAGCGACAAUCUCGCUCCGCCGCCGCUUCCCCUUGCAUCUCCCUGUGUAAAUGUGUAUCCUCCGCCGCCGCCUCUCCUCGCCUCUCCAUGUGUCUCUCUCGAUCCCCUUUCUAGCCACAUCGUAGAAUUCAUAGCAUGGCACUACUCCAGUUAAUCCAGUCGCUCUAUAUUCCAAUCUUCGUCCGUUUCAUAGCAUCACGACUUUCAGGUACAUAUACUGAAGAGCUGGAUUUGCACCAUGUAAUGGAAGAAGUGGCACGUGUGGGAUCAGAUGGAGUUGCAGAGGCACUGCAGCCUUGGACGUGCAUGGUGAUAACACAGAUGUGUAAUAGUAUUGGGCGGUUGGGGACAAUGCUAGCAAGUAAUUAAUCAAUACUGGAUUUGCUUGGUCUCACCCACAUAUCCUAAUUAGGUUUGUUCUAGUUUGUAACA